CAAGCGGUGGAGUAUGUGGUUUAAUUCGAUGCAACGCGAAGAACUUACCUGGUCUUGACAUCCCGGAGACCCUUAGGAAACUAGGGGGUGCUUCCAUCUGGAAGAAUCUGGAGACAGGUGCUGCAUGGCUGUCGUCAGCUCGUGUCGUGAGAUGUUGGGUUAAGUCCCGCAACGAGCGCAACCCUUGCCUUUAGUUGCCAGCAGUUCGGCUGGGCACUCUAAAGGGACUGCCGGUGUUAAACCGGAGGAAGGUGGGGAUGACGUCAAGUCCUCAUGGCCUUUAUGACCAGGGCUACACACGUACUACAAUGGCCGAUACAAAGGGCAGCGACACUGCGAGGUGAAGCCAAUCCCGUAAAAUCGGUCUCAGUCCGGAUUGGAGUCUGCAACUCGACUCCAUGAAGUUGGAAUCGCUAGUAAUCGUGGAUCAGCAUGCCACGGUGAAUACGUUCCCGGGCCUU
RNAcentral lists this ribosomal RNA (461 nucleotides) under uncultured Desulfobulbus sp. Its description in RNAcentral is "bacterial SSU rRNA". It matches the Rfam family "Bacterial small subunit ribosomal RNA", at positions 926 to 1382 of the family's 1533-position model. Lineage: Bacteria; Pseudomonadati; Thermodesulfobacteriota; Desulfobulbia; Desulfobulbales; Desulfobulbaceae. The record is from RNAcentral.